This 428-nucleotide ribosomal RNA is filed under the name uncultured bacterium. Its description in RNAcentral is "bacterial SSU rRNA". It matches the Rfam family "Bacterial small subunit ribosomal RNA", at positions 355 to 774 of the family's 1533-position model. The record is from RNAcentral.
UGGGGAAUCUUCCGCAAUGGACGAAAGUCUGACGGAGCAACGCCGCGUGUAUGAUGAAGGUCUUCGGAUUGUAAAGUACUGUCAUUGGGGAAGAACGGUUUUCUUGAAAAGAUUGAGAAGACAUGACGGUACCCAAGGAGGAAGCCCCGGCUAACUACGUGCCAGCAGCCGCGGUAAUACGUAGGGGGCAAGCGUUGUCCGGAAUUAUUGGGCGUAAAGGGCGCGUAGGCGGGCCUUUAAGUCCGGUGUGAAAGAUCAGGGCUCAACCCUGAGAGUGCAUCGGAAACUGGAGGCCUUGAGGACAGGAGAGGAAAGUGGAAUUCCACGUGUAGCGGUGAAAUGCGUAGAUAUGUGGAGGAACACCAGUGGCGAAGGCGACUUUCUGGACUGUAACUGACGCUAAAGCACGAAAGCGUGGGUAGCAAACA